Molecule: ribosomal RNA, 1445 nt
Filed under: uncultured organism
Description: SSU rRNA
Rfam family: Bacterial small subunit ribosomal RNA
Source: RNAcentral
GCUAGCGACAGGCUUAACACAUGCAAGUCGAGGGGUAGCGGGGGUAGCGAUACCCGCCGGCGACCGGCGCACGGGUGAGUAACGCGUAUGCUACUUGCCUAUCAGAGGGGGAUAACCCGGCGAAAGUCGGACUAAUACCGCAUGAAGCAAGGGCCCCGCAUGGGGAUAUUUGCUAAAGAUUCAUCGCUGAUAGAUAGGCAUGCGUUCCAUUAGGCAGUUGGCGGGGUAACGGCCCACCAAACCGACGAUGGAUAGGGGUUCUGAGAGGAAGGUCCCCCACAUUGGUACUGAGACACGGACCAAACUCCUACGGGAGGCAGCAGUGAGGAAUAUUGGUCAAAGGCCGAGAGGCUGAACCAGCCAAGUCGCGUGAGGGAUGAAGGUUCUAUGGAUCGUAAACCUCUUUUAUAAGGGAAUAAAGUGCGGGACGUGUCCCGUUUUGUAUGUACCUUAUGAAUAAGGAUCGGCUAACUCCGUGCCAGCAGCCGCGGUAAUACGGAGGAUCCGAGCGUUAUCCGGAUUUAUUGGGUUUAAAGGGUGCGUAAGCGGCCUUUUAAGUCAGCGGUGAAAGUCUGUGGCUCAACCAUAGAAUUGCCGUUGAAACUGGGGGGCUUGAGUAUGUUUGAGGCAGGCGGAAUGCGUGGUGUAGCGGUGAAAUGCAUAGAUAUCACGCAGAACCCCGAUUGCGAAAGCAGCCUGCCCAGCCAUUACUGACGCUGAUGCACGAAAGCGUGGGGAUCCAACAGGAUUAGAUACCCUGGUAGUCCACGCAAUAAACGUAGAUCACUAGCUGUUUGCGAUACACUGUAAGCAGGACAACAAAAGCGUUAAGUGAUUCCCCCUGGGGAGUACGCCGGCAACGGUGAAACUCAAAGGAAUUGACGGGGGCCCGCACAAGCGGAGGAACAUGUGGUUUAAUUCGAUGAUACGCGAGGAACCUUACCCGGGUUUGAACGCAUUCGGACCGAGGUGGAAACACCUUUUCUAGCAAUAGCCGUUUGCGAGGUGCUGCAUGGUUGUCGUCAGCUCGUGCCGUGAGGUGUCGGCUUAAGUGCCAUAACGAGCGCAACCCUUGCCACUAGUUACUAACAGGUAAAGCUGAGGACUCUGGUGGGACUGCCAGCGUAAGCUGCGAGGAAGGCGGGGAUGACGUCAAAUCAGCACGGCCCUUACAUCCGGGGCGACACACGUGUUACAAUGGCGUGGACAAAGGGAGGCCACCUGGCGACAGGGAGCGAAUCCCCAAACCACGUCUCAGUUCGGAUCGGAGUCUGCAACCCGACUCCGUGAAGCUGGAUUCGCUAGUAAUCGCGCAUCAGCCAUGGCGCGGUGAAUACGUUCCCGGGCCUUGUACACACCGCCCGUCAAGCCAUGGGAGCCGGGGGUACAAGAAGUCCGUAACCGAAAGGAUCGGCCUAGGGUAAAACUGUAAAGGGGGCUAAGUC